Molecule: small nuclear RNA, 74 nt
Filed under: Mus musculus (house mouse)
Lineage: Eukaryota; Metazoa; Chordata; Mammalia; Rodentia; Muridae
Source: RNAcentral
GAAAAAGAAAAAGAAGAUUAGCAUGGCCCCUGUGCAAGGAUGACAUACAAAUUCGUGAAGUGUUACAUAUUUUU